This 72-nucleotide transfer RNA is filed under the name Candidatus Wolfebacteria bacterium CG_4_9_14_0_8_um_filter_39_46. Its description in RNAcentral is "tRNA-Gly". It matches the Rfam family "tRNA". From Rfam's summary of the family: Transfer RNA (tRNA) molecules are approximately 80 nucleotides in length. Lineage: Bacteria; Candidatus Wolfeibacteriota. The record is from RNAcentral.
GCGGGUGUAGCACAGUGGUUAGUGCGCCAGAUUGCCAAUUUGGAUACGGCGGUUCGAUUCCGCUCACCCGCU